This 1613-nucleotide long non-coding RNA is filed under the name Setaria italica (foxtail millet). RNAcentral describes it as "long non-coding RNA (SITA_LNC000741)". Lineage: Eukaryota; Viridiplantae; Streptophyta; Magnoliopsida; Poales; Poaceae. The record is from RNAcentral.
UGCUGGGAACCUGCGGUGCCAUCUUCUGAUGAAACAUCGUGCUUCGACGACAGCUUCUGCUUCCGGCCGUUCCUCCUCCUGCUGGUGUUCGGGCCUCUGGUCUGCGGCACUUGCUUCGUGUCACUCAUCUUCAAAAAGGCAAAAUAAAAUGAGCAACCUUCAGUGCCAAAGAUUCGUGAAUCAGUCCAGCUGAGGUGGACCUUUAGUGCAACAGUCAAUAUGUCAUUCGUACACCAAAAGCUUGUCUAAGCUCAGCAACAGCCAAAGAAACUGGCGCCACUAGUUCAAUUGGGUUCUCAAGAAAAAGAACAAAUAUUGAACAUCAGAGCAUAGAUUCAGCCUUAUCAUAAAGCACCACCGAUUGGCAAUUUAAGGUAUGACUUGGAGCGUGAACCUUCCAACAGCAAAAGCACACGGACAAGUCAGCAAAGGCACACGACUAUGAAUCCAAUUGUCCAAGAAAGGGAUGCGUGACAGAAAAUGAGAUGCGUGAUCCGUAUAUCCAUUCUGACGCUGAAGGUAAUAAAACUCAUCGGGAGUCGAAACCUUGCUACCACUCAAAAUGACAUAUAAUAUGAGACGUCACAUCAUGAGGAUACGAAAAAUCCAAUUGCAAACAGCUAUACACGGUGGGCAGUGGACUGGUACCAUAUGGACCACAACAAUAGCAAUGGUCUACCUGUCAUUGAAAUACCUUAUCCAGAAACGUCAUAUCUGCUAAGCAAGUCCUCAUGCCAAGAUACAUCUAGUAGUGGAGCUUCUCCUAGCCCCUUCACGGUAUCUCAACAGUUUAUUGGACUAUCAUGUGAUCAUUAUGAGUUAUGACUACUAAACACCAUGAAGGGCUUAGGUCCAAACAUGUAACAGGGUCCACUAAGUAACCCAAGAUCUACAGCCUUCAGCCAAUGGAUAAAAGCAUAGACUAAAAAGUUAUUGACUAAAAAGAACUUAUUUAAAGAAUGAGCAGCCAUGCUGGAAUUGUGUUUCUUCCAUAGACCUUAAAAUUCCAAAUCCAUGGGAAAAAUUUGUAGUCCACGACAUUGGAAGGAACAACUGCAAAAUCAACAUCUAGGAUAGCAGACUGAAGACAUGCAACUAUACGAUGCUCAUACUAUCAAGCGAAAUCAGGACUUCUGUAACUAGUGAUAACAUAGCCACCCAAUUCUUUUUAUGACAUCUAGAGACCUCAUACUUUGCAGGCGAAUCUACAGGCAUCUGGAAUAUGCUCAGAAAGACACAAAGCACCACAAUCAUUUUCCAAAAAAAAGAAAGGCAUAAAACAAAAUGUCAAAGCAAAGUCAUUGUUUAUAAACAAUCUCCUAUAUCAGAUGGGAUUAUGCCUAAUCGUCCAUUUCAUGAUCAUCUUCAGAAGUAAAUUGUAUUUACCUACAUAGUAAGUAGCUGUGAUUCCUGCCACAUGGCAUCAUUAUCAAGCACAGUAAAUUGAUAAUGACGGGUGCACUUACCCCAAAACAAAAGCCAGCCUGGCUCUGACCCACCCCAGCAUCCACAGGUCUUGGAGGUUUCCCCGAGUCCAUUGCUGAUGAACCCCGCUUAUUGAAGCCAUUACAUGAUGGCACCUCUGCGUCCAUUACUUUAGUAGGCGGAGGAGG